Molecule: ribosomal RNA, 914 nt
Filed under: Triticum aestivum (bread wheat)
Lineage: Eukaryota; Viridiplantae; Streptophyta; Magnoliopsida; Poales; Poaceae
Description: partial small subunit ribosomal RNA
Source: RNAcentral
AUCUCGCGCUUCGGGAAGACCGUCCUCCUCUGCUUAGCCCUGUUCGCCGCAUGGCACCUCUGCUCGACCCUGUUCGCCGACGCGCCUCCCGGUGGCCACUCUGCGGAGGAGAAAGCUGUAGUCAGCGACGCGGCCGGGAACGCGUCUGGACUGCCUCUCGCCAGGGAGGCCGGCGUCCGGGCGGCGGCCGUCACGGGGAGCAACUUCGUCGUCUCGCCGCUGUCGAUCCACGCGGCGCUCGCGAUGGUGGCCGCCGGCGCGCGGGGCGAGACGCGUAGGGAGCUCCUGGGGCUCCUCGGGUCAGCCUCGCUCGACGAGCUGCACCGCGCGCCGGCGAUCAAGCUUGUCGGCAGACUCAACGGACUAAAGCAGACGUCAUUCGCUUGCGGCGUGUGGGUCGACCGGAGGAGGGUGCUGAGGCCGGAGUUCACGGCCACCGGAGCGUCGCGGUACGCCGCCAUGGCGGAAUCCGUGGACUUCGUGUCGGGGGCAGAGCAGGCGGGGCGGCGCGUGAACUCCUUCGUGGCGGACGCGACGAAGCAGCGCAUCCAGCACAUCCUCCCUCCCGGCUCCGUCGAGGCGUCGACUCGUCCACGGCGGUCGUCCUCGCCAACGCGCUCUACUUCAAAGGGGCGUGGCCUGAGCCGUUCGACGUCUUCAACGCGCCGUUCCACACCCCAGGCGGCGCCACCGUGCGCGUGCCGGCCAUGACGACAGGCCGGUCACAGUACAUCGCGCUCUACCCGGGCUUCAGGGCCCUCAAGCUGCCCUACAGGAACGACGGCGACCGCGCUGCUGCAUUCUACAUGCUUAUCCUUCUCCCGGACAGCGGCGCUCUCAGCCUUUCUGCUCUCUACGACAAGGUGGUGUCAUCGCCGGAGUUCAUCAGGAAGCACACGCCAGAAGAGGAGGUU